UAAAAAGCUCGUAGUUGAAAUUGUGUCCUGCGGUGUCGGUCUACCGACUGCGGUACGACAGGCACGUCUGCGGGGCUUCUCGCCGGUGCGUCCACCGCCGGUGCGUGUCGCGGCCUUCCUAAUCGUUGGCCGCGCGCGUCGAGGCGGGCCGUCGCGGCUGUUUACUUUGAACAAAUUAGAGUGCUCAAAGCGGGCUAACACUUGCCUGAAUAUUGUACGCAUGGAAUAAUAGAAUAGGACCUCGGUUCUGUUUUGUUGGCUUUCUGAUACCAGAGGUAAUGAUUAAUAGGGACAACUGGGGGCAUUCGUAUUGCGACGUUAGAGGUGAAAUUCUUGGAUCGUCGCAAGACGGACUAAAGCGAAAGCAUUUGCCAAAGGUGUUUUCAUUAAUCAAGAACGAAAGUUAGAGGUUCGAAGGCGAUUAGAUACCGCUGUAGUUCUAACCAUAAAUGAUGCCAGCCAGCGAUCCGCCGAAGUUUCAUAAUUUUAACCCGGUGGGCAGCUCCCGGGAAACCAAAGCUUUCGGGCUCCGGGG
This 535-nucleotide ribosomal RNA is filed under the name Apsilochorema sutshanum. Its description in RNAcentral is "SSU rRNA". It matches the Rfam family "Eukaryotic small subunit ribosomal RNA", at positions 620 to 1119 of the family's 1831-position model. The record is from RNAcentral. Lineage: Eukaryota; Metazoa; Arthropoda; Insecta; Trichoptera; Hydrobiosidae.